RNAcentral lists this ribosomal RNA (294 nucleotides) under uncultured bacterium. Its description in RNAcentral is "partial 16S ribosomal RNA". It matches the Rfam family "Bacterial small subunit ribosomal RNA", at positions 775 to 1067 of the family's 1533-position model. The record is from RNAcentral.
GGAUUAGAUACCCUGGUAGUCCACGCUGUAAACGAUGUCUGCUAGCCGUUGGAGUCCUUAGAGACUUUAGUGGCGCAGUUAACGCGAUAAGCAGACCGCCUGGGGAGUACGGCCGCAAGGUUAAAACUCAAAUGAAUUGACGGGGGCCCGCACAAGCGGUGGAGCAUGUGGUUUAAUUCGAAGCAACGCGAAGAACCUUACCAGGGCUUGACAUCCUCAGAACUUUCCAGAGAUGGAUUGGUGCCUUCGGGAACUGAGUGACAGGUGCUGCAUGGCUGUCGUCAGCUCGUGCCG